RNAcentral lists this ribosomal RNA (459 nucleotides) under uncultured bacterium. RNAcentral's name for it is "partial 16S ribosomal RNA". It matches the Rfam family "Bacterial small subunit ribosomal RNA", at positions 338 to 795 of the family's 1533-position model. The record is from RNAcentral.
CCUACGGGGGGCAGCAGUGAGGAAUAUUGGUCAAUGGGCGGGAGUCUGAACCAGCCAAGUCGCGUGAGGGAUGACGGCCCUAUGGGUUGUAAACCUCUUUUGCCGGGGAGCAAAGUGCAGUACGUGUGCGGUUUGGUGAGUACCCGGUGAAUAAGCAUCGGCUAACUCCGUGCCAGCAGCCGCGGUAAUACGGAGGAUGCGAGCGUUAUCCGGAUUUAUUGGGUUUAAAGGGUGCGUAGGCGGACGCUUAAGUCAGCGGUAAAAUUGCGGGGCUCAACCUCGUAGAGCCGUUGACACUGGGUGCCUUGAGUGGGCGAGAAGUACGCGGAAUGCGUGGUGUAGCGGUGAAAUGCAUAGAUAUCACGCAGAACUCCGAUUGCGAAGGCAGCGUACCGGCGCCCAACUGACGCUGAAGCACGAAGGCGUGGGUAUCGAACAGGAUUAGAUACCCGAGUAGUC